UUCACUAAAAUGUCUUGAGAUCUCUAUCCAUCCCAUCACUCUCCAGAGGCUAAUUCACACUCUAUCGGGCAAGCAAGAACCUCAUCCCCAUCUGAACUUUUUUUUUUUUAAACUGACUUAUAAAAGGUAAAGCUAAAUGGCGGUGGCCUUCCAUGGAGGCCGGAACGGCGUCGGAUCGGGACUCCGCAGUUUCUUCUCGUACCGGAUCUUCAUCUCCGCCUUGUUCUCUUUCCUCUUCCUCGCCACCUUCUCCGUUGUCCUCAACUCCUCUCGUCACCAACCUCAUCUCGAUCACGUAAGCUUCCGAUUCGUUUCACAAUCCGAAUCAAAAUUUAGAAAUGAAUUUAGAAUCUGAGCUUCGAUUUUUGGUGUUUAGACAUUGCCGAGGACGUUUCAAUCGGAUCCGUUGAAAGCUAGGUUAGAUCUGAUCCACAAGCAAGCCACCGAUCACCUCACGCUUGUGAACGCUUACGCUGCUUACGCUAGGAAGCUCAAGCUCGACGCGUCGAAGCAGCUGAAGCUCUUCGAAGAUCUGGCGGUUAACUUCUCCGAUCUGCAGGCCAAACCUGGACUGAAGCUCGAAAACGGGAACGCGAUCGAGGAGGAUGCGUUUCGGCAGAUCGAGAAAGAGGUUAAAGAUAAGGUGAAGACCGCGAGGAUGAUGAUCGUUGAGUCCAAAGAGAGUUACGAUACACAGCUCAAGAUCCAGAAGCUCAAGGAUACGAUCUUCGCUGUUCAAGAACAGUUGACGAAAGCUAAGAAAAACGGCGCCGUUGCGAGCUUGAUCUCGGCUAAGUCGGUUCCCAAGAGUCUUAACUGUUUGGCUAUGAGGCUUGUUGGUGAGAGGAUCUCUAACCCUGAGAAGUAUAAGGAUGCUCCGUUUGAUUCGGCUGUGUUGGAGGAUCCGAGUCUUUAUCACUACGCGGUUUUCUCUGAUAAUGUGAUUGCUGUUUCCGUUGUGGUGAGGUCGGUUGUGGUGAACGCUGAGGAGCCGUGGAAGCAUGUGUUUCAUGUGGUGACUGAUAGGAUGAAUCUCGCCGCUAUGAAGGUUUGGUUUAAGAUGCGUCCUUUGGACCGUGGUGCUCGUGUUGAGAUUAAGUCGGUUGAGGAGUUUAAGUUCUUGAACUCUUCGUAUGCGCCGGUCUUGAGGCAGUUAGAGUCUGCUAAGUUGCAGAAGUUUUACUUUGAGAACCAGGCGGAGAACUCGACUAGAGAUGAACAUAACAUCAAGUUCAAGAACCCCAAGUAUCUCUCGGUGUUGAACCAUCUGAGAUUCUACUUACCGGAGAUGUAUCCGAAGCUGAAUAAGAUCUUGUUCUUGGACGAUGAUGUUGUGGUGCAGAAGGACGUGACUGGGUUGUGGAAGAUUAAUUUAGAUGGGAAGGUGAAUGGAGCUGUUGAGACGUGCUUUGGCUCUUUUCAUCGAUAUGGUCAAUACCUAAACUUCACUCAUCCUCUGAUCAAAGAGAGCUUUAACCCCAAUGCUUGUGCUUGGGCCUUUGGGAUGAAUAUAUUUGAUCUCAAUGCUUGGAGGCGCGAGAAAUGCACAGAUCAAUACCAUUACUGGCAGAACUUGGUAAGCCCCAUAUCUUUCUUAGUAACUUAUGCAUUUCAAAAAAUCUCUUUUAUCUUGUGUUGAUUGUGUGCUAAUCUCUGAGCAGAAUGAAGACAGAAGUCUCUGGAAAUUAGGCACUCUGCCUCCGGGACUGAUGACAUUCUAUUCAAAGACGAAAUCACUGGACAAGUCCUGGCAUGUGCUUGGGUUAGGCUACAACCCGGGAGUGAGCAUGGACGAGAUAAAAAAAGCAGCAGUGAUACAUUACAAUGGGAACAUGAAACCAUGGCUAGACAUUGCUAUGAACCAAUACAAGUCUCUCUGGACUAAAUACGUCGACAACGAAAUGGAGUUUGUGCAGAUGUGCAAUUUUGGUCUUUAAAGAAAGAUAUCGAUGAAGAGGUAACCUCAAAUCGAUAUAUGUUCAGUCAUUCAGGGCAUUCUUUAGCUUAUAUACGUUUAUCUUUUAUAUAUUAUAUAGGGUUACAAAAGUGUUUUGCUUUGUUCUUUCUGUCAUAGUUUUGUUCUUUAUUUAUAUUUUGUGUAACUCUUUCACAUCAAAAGCUUUAUCCAAAACUACAAUGUGUUAAGGUUUGUUUCAUGCAAAGUUUUGACUUAUGAUUGAAACAUUAAAGAGAAAUGGAUUAGGAAGAUAAUGAAUUUUUAUCAUAUGUUGAUUUAGUUUCAUUUUAUUACUAAAAUCAUGAUGAGCUAACUACUUUACAAAACACAAUAAGAUUUUAUCAUAUGUUUGUAUAUCUACAAAAAUAGUUAGAAAUUCAACAAAGUUGUUAUGACCGUUUCUCACCGCAAGACAGAAACUCAAAGAUCCUGUCUCGAGUCAAUGUACGUCCAAACUGCACAAACCCAUCGCACCUUCCGGUCUCUCUGUCUAGGUCAACGAGCGUUGACUUCAAUUUCUCCAGUUCCUCCUCCAUCCCUCCCAUAGCAAAUGCCACAGACGACCGUUUAUUCACGGCGAUGUCCACCGUUAGUCUAAUGGAUCUCUCCACCGCCUCCAACAUACUCACAAGUCUGCUCAUCUUCUCAACCUCCUUGAGAGCCACCAUCGUUUCCCUCUCCAUCGACGUCACUGCUGUCUUUUCCCGUUUCAGAGUUUCCGACGACUCUCUCCACCUCGAAGCAGCAAAGUUAGUCACUGCUUCAACCGGUACAGGUACAAAGAUACCCGCCACGAUUUUUCCCACGGCCACUAGAGCGAUCAUCGCCGCCGCAACCUUGAUCCUUGGAUGCUGUCUUUAUGGAGUACAUUAUAUCAGAUCAAUCCAAAAUACUUUCCUAAAGGUCCAGAUGUGAUGAUUCCUCAAGAUGAAUUAACUGAUCAGCCCAAAUAUAGGAUCUUAUAUCAUAAGCAGGAGACACUGGAGCCUGAAUUGAUGGCAGAGUCAGGUACACCAAGUUUUUAUUCCUAUCAUGUUUUUAAGGAGGGGAUUCAUGGUGUGGAUACUUUGCUCCAUCAUGUUAGCUUAGGACUAUGUUAUGCUACUUAACAGUGAACUUUCUGUCUAGUUAAUAAUGGUAAUUGCUAGAAAAAUGUCAAUGUAGAGAAAUGACUUUUAAUGUUCUGGUUCAGUUGGCUCGUGAACUCUUGCAUAAUAUGCCUCUUAUUGUUUUAGCAGACAUCAUAGAAAGAGCCCGUGGAAUGUCACCCGGAAAAUUAUCCAAGGACAAAACUAAACCAGACUGCUUUCUCAAGAUGGUACUAUGCACAUCCAUUAUAUUUUUUUUUUGAUUUUAUGUUAUAUAUGCUAUGCAACCUUGCUGGUUAUGCUAUUUUUUUAUGCUGUGUUACCUUGAAUACGGAUUUGAUGGUCCUUCUUGGUCAAAAUAUGUUUUCUUAAAAUAUCUUAUUUCUGGUAAGCCUGGAUGAUAUGAGUUUUAUUCCCUUGGCUUGCAUUUAAAUAUUUCAAUCAUGCAGAUUAAAAAUGAAGUCUUGACGAAAGCUGGAAGUACAAAGGAUGUCCGCCACUUCGAGUUCCAAUUUGUUUCUUCUGUAAGUAACUUUGCUAUCACUUACUAACUAGUUUCAAUCAAUUUCUCCUCUUUUAUGAAGUGGUUGUUCAAUUAAUUUCUCCUCUUUGUUUUUUUUUUAAUUCAUUUAAGAGUAUCAAAUAUGAAGUGGGCGAUGUUGUUGAGCUUCUUCCAAGCCAAGAUUCUUCAGCAAUAGAUGCGUUUAUAAAACGCUGUCAUUUGGACCCGGAAUCAUUCAUCACAGUAAGUAGCUCCACUCUGUUGACAUGAUGAUCCCAGAUUGUCUAACUGAAGUAAAUUUUGAUAACUAAUUUACUUUCAGGUUUGUCCGAGAGAGACAGUGAAUAAUGGUUCAUGUGGAGAAGUAAUUACACACCAUGUCCCUAUCAAGCUUAAGACUUUUGUUGAAUUAACAAUGGACGUUACAUCUGCUUCACCUCGACGAUACUUCUUCGAGGUAAGAGUCCUAAUGAUCUUGAAUAUCAGAUUUUUAUAAUGUAAUUUUAAGUAUUUGAUGGAAGUCGUUACAAUGUAUCUUCUCGGUGUCAGGUUAUGAGCUUCUAUGCAACAGCUGAACUUGAGAAGGAAAGACUGCAAUACUUUGCCUCAGCCGAGGGACGUGAUGACCUCUACAAUUACAAUCAGAAGGAAAGAAAAAGCGUCCUUGAGGUAACCAAUUGGGGACACCAUGAUUCGUCUUGAACCAAAUAGAUCUUAUUGCUACUGCCUAUGUAGGUGCUAGAGGAUUUCUCUUCCGUGCAAAUGCCUUUUGAGUGGCUAGUACAGUUAGUACCAUCGCUAAAACCACGAGCUUUUUCGAUAUCUUCAUCUCCUUUGGCCCACCCUGGUCAAGUACAUUUGACAGUAAGCGUGGUAUCAUGGAUCACCCCUUCAUACCCUUAUAAGAGAACUCGAAAAGGUCUAUGCUCCUCUUGGCUCGCAAGCCUCACACCUGAGCAAGGUUAGCACUGUGUUUCUAUGUAUUAUUUUAACUGACUCAGGUCUUUGUUUCUACGUAUUUAUCUUACAUUUUGUGUUCCGUUGUGUUUAGAGAUAAACAUACCGAUUUGGUUUCACAAAGGCUCUCUUCCUGCUCCACCACAGUCGCUUCCACUCAUCUUAGUGGGACCUGGAACCGGAUGUGCCCCUUUCCGCGGGUUCAUAGCUGAGAGAGCCGUGCAAGCUCAGACCAGCCCGAUCGCACCAGUCAUGUUCUUCUUUGGUUGCAGGAACAAAGACACUGACUUUUUAUACAAAGACUUCUGGGAGUCUCAUGCAAGAGAAGGAGGCAUGCUCUCUGAAGUAAAAGGCGGAGGGUUUUACACAGCAUUCUCUAGAGACCAACCGAAGAAGGUUUACGUGCAACACAGGAUACUAGAGAUGAGGAAGAAAGUUUGGGAUUUGCUAUGUGAUGGAGCCGCCGUUUACGUGGCGGGCUCGUCCACGAAAAUGCCUUGUGAUGUGAUGUCGGCCUUGGAGGAGAUUGUGAUGGAGGAGACCGGAGGAUCAAAGGAAAUGGCUUCACGGUGGCUCAAGGCUUUGGAGAAAGCUGGGAGAUACAAUGUUGAAGCUUGGUCUUAAACCCAACUUCCUCCAUAUCAUGUAAUGUUUGAUUACUAGCUAUACGAAUCAUUGGAUUAUUUAUUUAUUUAAAUUGAUUUUAUAAUAUUCACAUUGAACGGUUCAAAUGAAGAUGAUUUGUUUGAUUGUAUACAUUUGAACUUUAUUUAUAAUUUAAUUUUAAUUUUUUUUAUAUAACGAGGUUCUUACCUUUUUCAUUUUAACUAGAGUUUGUUGAAUAAAUCAUUCACCUCACUGAAUAAUACAAGAUUUCAGUGUUUAUAUAAAAAUCAUCAAUUAAAUAACAUCAGAUUUUAAACAGAACUGAAAAUCAACGUACAAUGUCAAUUACUCAAUUUUUUUAUUUAUUAAUUUAUUGUAUAAUAACACUUUAGUUAUUUUUCAAAUGUUUUCGAUCGGCAAAUUUAAUAGAAUAUAUUUAUUCUUCAAUUAAUCAUUGAGUGGCAAAAUUAAAAAUGAAAUAAUCAAUUGUUAUAAAAUGGACAGAAACUAUUAUUUUUCUAAAUUUGUUUAUUUUUUUAAAAAAAAUUGUGCAGUCAAAGUGUUAGUUGAUAAUAAUUCUACACAAACAAUACUUUCAAGUAUUAAAGCUGCUGGUUUCAAAUACUUUGGUAAUAAAAUGUUAAUGUCCUAAAGUAUAUAGGUGAGACUGGGGUUUUAAUAAUAUUGAGAGUUUAUAUCUACACUAUAAAUUAGUAAUUGUUUAUUAAACCAAUGAUUAAUGACAUUAACGUGUCUUCUUCACUAAAAUGUCUUGAGAUCUCUAUCCAUCCCAUCACUCUCCAGAGGCUAAUUCACACUCUAUCGGGCAAGCAAGAACCUCAUCCCCAUCUGAACUUUUUUUUUUUUAAACUGACUUAUAAAAGGUAAAGCUAAAUGGCGGUGGCCUUCCAUGGAGGCCGGAACGGCGUCGGAUCGGGACUCCGCAGUUUCUUCUCGUACCGGAUCUUCAUCUCCGCCUUGUUCUCUUUCCUCUUCCUCGCCAC
Molecule: long non-coding RNA, 6114 nt
Filed under: Brassica napus (rape)
Lineage: Eukaryota; Viridiplantae; Streptophyta; Magnoliopsida; Brassicales; Brassicaceae
Description: long non-coding RNA (BNAP_LNC002470)
Source: RNAcentral